Long non-coding RNA from Homo sapiens (human), 553 nucleotides. NCBI's taxonomy places the organism in Eukaryota, Metazoa, Chordata, Mammalia, Primates, Hominidae. The record is from Ensembl.
CACGGUGUCUUGGAAAAUGGAAAGAAUUGGGAGCCUUCCUACCGCUGGUGAAAUCUAGGAGUGGCAGUUGAGGGCUUCUGUUCACAAAGUCUGGCCAUGUUUCUGUAGGGCUGCUGUACUUUGCUGGGCUUCUUCUCCAGUUCCUAGUCUCCUUGGAUUUUCCAGUACCUGGAGCUAUCACCAGUGAAGGCUGUGAAACAGCAAAGAUGUCAGCCUGCCUCUUCCUCUGGGAGCUCCGGCCCAGCGAGGUACAGACCUGUUGCCAGCCCAAAUGCGCCUGCAGGACAAGGCUGGAGACCCUGGUUGGGAGGUCUCACCCAGUCAGGAGGAACGGGAUCAGGGAACUGCUUAAAGAAGCAGUCUGUCCAUGCUUUCACAGAUCAGCUGUGCUGUGCUGGGGCACUGCUUCCACCCCUGGUUGGUGUGGGCUCUCCAAAGCCUGGAGGCCGGAACAGCUAAGUCGCCCAAACAGCAAAGAUGGUGGCCCCUCCCUCCCUCCGGGAGCUCUGUCCCAGGGAGAAUUCAAAUCUCUGUCAGCCAGAGAACACCAGUA